AGAGUUUGAUCCUGGCUCAGAACGAACGUUAGCGGCGCGCCUAACACAUGCAAGUCGUGCGAGAAAGGGGAAACCCCGGUAAAGCGGCGCACGGGUGAGUAACACGUAGGUAAUCUACCCCCAGGUGGUGGAUAACCUUCCGAAAGGAGGGCUAAUACAGCAUGAGACCACGGUUCCGCAAGGGAUUGAGGUCAAAGCCGGCCUCUUCACGAAAGCUGGCGCCAGGGGAUGAGCCUGCGGCCCAUCAGCUUGUUGGUAGGGUAACGGCCUACCAAGGCGAAGACGGGUAGCUGGUCUGAGAGGAUGAUCAGCCACACUGGAACUGAGACACGGUCCAGACUCCUACGGGAGGCAGCAGUGGGGAAUCUUGCGCAAUGGGCGAAAGCCUGACGCAGCGACGCCGCGUGAGUGAUGAAGGCCUUCGGGUUGUAAAGCUCUGUGGAGAGGGACGAAUAAGGGUUGGCUAACAUCCAGCUUGAUGACGGUACCUCUUUAGCAAGCACCGGCUAACUCUGUGCCAGCAGCCGCGGUAAGACAGAGGGUGCAAACGUUGUUCGGAAUUACUGGGCGUAAAGCGCGUGUAGGCUGCCUUGCAAGUCGGGUGUGAAAGCCCUGGGCUCAACCUAGGAAGUGCACUCGAAACUGCAAGGCUGGAGUCCUGGAGAGGAAGGCGGAAUUCUCGGUGUAGAGGUGAAAUUCGUAGAUAUCGAGAGGAACACCGGUGGCGAAGGCGGCCUUCUGGACAGUGACUGACGCUGAGACGCGAAAGCGUGGGGACAAACAGGAUUAGAUACCCUAGUAGUCC
RNAcentral lists this ribosomal RNA (805 nucleotides) under uncultured bacterium. RNAcentral describes it as "bacterial SSU rRNA". It matches the Rfam family "Bacterial small subunit ribosomal RNA", at positions 8 to 796 of the family's 1533-position model. The record is from RNAcentral.